Molecule: small RNA, 1195 nt
Filed under: Pongo abelii (Sumatran orangutan)
Lineage: Eukaryota; Metazoa; Chordata; Mammalia; Primates; Hominidae
Description: processed transcript
Source: RNAcentral
CGCGGCCCAGGUCGGCCUCAGGGAGCGGACACCCCGAGCGGGGGGUGCGGGCGCCGCCGCCGCCGCCGCCGCUUCUGCUGCUGCUGUUCCUGCUGCUGCUGCUGUUGGUGCCGCUGCCGCCGCCGGCGAGCGGGCGGGACCGGUGUGAGUGCGAGUGUGUGUGCGAGGGAGCGUGUGCGAGGGCGAGUGUGCGCGCGAGUGUGCGGGUGUGUGCGAGUGUCUGUCUGUGCGGGGACUCGGGGGCGGGCGGUUCGGGCUCUCCUGGCGGAGGAGCCGCCGCCGCCGCCCGGGCCCCGGCGCUUCUCGCUGCGCAGGUUCGGAGCGCGCGCCAUUUUGUGAGAUUUACAAAAUCCUCCUCGGGAAGAAGCCGCCGGCAGCAGCCGCCGCUCGGCGCCCGGCCUCGCCGACGCCGCCCUCUGCGCCGGGCCGGGCCGCGCGGCCCCGCCGCCGGGAAUCGGGGCCCGGGGACUGCGGUAUUUGCCGGGGAGGGGCCUGUCGCCUCCCCGGCCCCGGGCGCCGCUGGAACCGCGAGCCGAGGAGAGACUGAGCAGGCUGCGGCGCGGCCGGGAGCCGGAGCGCCGGGGGCGGAGAGAGGCUGCCGGGGCGGCGCUGGCUGCGGAGGCCGCGGCGGGAGCGCGGCGCGGGAGCCCGAGGCUGAGACUCACCGGAGGAAGCGGCGCGAGCGCCCCGCCAUCGUCCCGGAGGAGAGACUUCAGCAUGCAAACCUUCAUCUGUUCGGCUUGCACCGUCAUUUUCAUUCCAUGCUGCUGGCCUUCAGAUGGCUGGACAGAUGCCCCAUUCACAUCAGUACAGUGACCGUCGCCAGCCAAACAUAAGUGACCAACAGGUUUCUGCCUUAUCAUAUUCUGACCAGAUUCAACAACCUCUAACUAACCAGAGGCGGAUGCCCCAAACCUUCCGUGACCCAGCAACUGCUCCCCUGAGAAAACUUUCUGUUGACUUGAUCAAAACAUACAAGCAUAUUAAUGAGGUUUACUAUGCAAAAAAGAAGCGAAGACACCAACAGGGCCAGGGAGACGAUUCUAGUCAUAAGAAGGAACGGAAGGUUUACAAUGAUGGUUAUGAUGAUGAUAACUAUGAUUAUAUUGUAAAAAACGGAGAAAAGUGGAUGGAUCGUUACGAAAUUGACUCCUUGAUAGGCAAAGGUUCCUUUGGACAGGUUGUAAAGGCGUAU